GACGAACGCUGGCGGCGUGCUUAACACAUGCAAGUCGAGCGGUAAGGCCCUUCGGGUACGACGAGCGGCGAACGGGUGAGUAACACGUGGGUGACCUGCCUCUAGCUCUGGGAUAAGCCUGGGAAACUGGGUCUAAUACCGGAUAUGACUCCACGGCGCAUGUUGUGGGGUGGAAAGCCUUGUGUGGCUAGAGAUGGGCCCGCGGCCUAUCAGCUUGUUGGUGGGGUGAUGGCCUACUAAGGCGACGACGGGUAGCCGGCCUGAGAGGGCGACCGGCCACACUGGGACUGAGACACGGCCCAGACUCCUACGGGAGGCAGCAGUGGGGAAUCUUGCGCAAUGGGCGAAAGCCUGACGCAGCGACGCCGCGUGAGGGAUGACGGCCU
This 386-nucleotide ribosomal RNA is filed under the name uncultured bacterium. Its description in RNAcentral is "bacterial SSU rRNA". It matches the Rfam family "Bacterial small subunit ribosomal RNA", at positions 28 to 417 of the family's 1533-position model. The record is from RNAcentral.